GGGGAGGAGAUGGAAGAUGGGCUGGAGCUGGGUUCUGGUCGUGGACACCGGCAGGUUCUCCCUCCCCCUUGGCCCUCCCCCAGGUCUCUCGGGACAAAUGCUGGACCCAGAAGCCCAGUUCCCGGACCUGGGAGAGGAUGUCUCCUUCUCCAGGCCCCACCCCUCGCCGCCCUGUGGUCCUCAGCCUGGAUAGACCCUCAGCCUGGGACCUUCAGCCUGGGUGGACCCUCAGCCUGGAUGGACCAUCAGCCUGGAUGGACCCUCAGCCUGGGACCUUCAGCCUGGGUGGACCCUCAGCCUGGGUGGACUCUCAGCCUGUGAUCUUCUGGAGGUCAGGGGUCAGGCUGUGGGUUUCACUGGGAGGACCCUCAUGGUGGAGGUUGGGGGGACACCCCUGAGGGUCUGGGUGUCCUGCAGGGCCUGUGGGUGAGGAAGCAGCUGCAUGGUCCCUGGGUGGGCUCAGUGGGCAAGACCAGCGGGGCCAGCCUGGUGCCGUCUUCCCUCUCCUGCUGCUCCCUGGGCCCGCCGGGCCUCCUUACGGCCCGUCCUCAGCACCUCUCUCUGGCACCUUCCAUCCUGGAUCCUGGGCAGAAUCUGGACUUCCUCUUCUCCCCGUGCUGGACACCGGGGAGGACAGGGUGGAGCAGAGGCGAGGCCAAGGCUACAGACCCUCCUCUCUUCUUCCCUGGUCCGAAGCUGGGGGUCUCCUUGAGGGUCAAGAAGUGGUGCCAGGGGCACGGCCAGAUGUCCUGGAGAGGACUGCAGAGUGUCCCAUCAAAGGACAGGGCUCAGCCUUGGCUAAGGAAGAGCGCACAGAGCUGGCGACAGAGGAAACCAAGGCCGGGCCUAACCAGCAGCACAGGCGUGGAGCCGGCAUGGGGCUGCCUGACGAGCGUCCUCCCCGGAGGAUGGAUUGGGGGUCCUCUCCCUCCACCCUGGCCCACCCUAGCCCAUGGAGCUGGUGGGGGGGCCGGGAGGGAGGCACCUCAGGGGCGCGGCCUCGCUGCUGAAAGCUCUGUGGUUCUCCGAGGACAGGGCAUCCUGGGUGAGGUGGCUGGGACGUGGGGCGCAGGCUGGGCAUGGGCUCAGGGAGGGUGGGGUCCCCAAGGGCAGAAGCAGGUACUUCUCCUCGCCGGUCGUUGGCUCUGAUGCUGCAGGAGCAGCCUGGCUAGAAGCCACCAGCAUGCACGCAGCUUGGGGAGGGCUGGUCCAGCGUAGUGGUCUCCUCACCGCCCUGGGCUGCGCCUGCUUGCUCCGUCCUCCCCACAAAGCCCCAGACCCUAGAGCCAGUCCCAGCCCUGCCAGUCUCCACCCCCUCCCCACAGUUCUCUAUGGGGGGCUCUCCUCCCUGUGUGCCCCCUCCCCCGGCCCAGGAAACCCAGCCCUGUCGUCUGUGCCCCUCGCCCCCUCUUCCCCACUCCUUAAACAGUUCCCACAUCCAGGGUUAGGAGCUCGUGGGCGCCUCACAGCUCACGGCCAGACUGCGGAGGAGAUGCACAAGUAAAUGCGUAGUGAAGCAGGAGGCACCCCCCAGCCCACCAUGCCUCGAGCUGCAUCCCUGCUCAGAGCGGGUCUCGUGGUGUGGCUGGGGAGCACGUCUCCCAUCCAUAGGGUGGUGGCCUUGGGGAGCUUCCAGCUGGCACUUCGUGCCCAGCACAGCUCUGCUCUCCUGUCCCAUCUCUGCGGGCAUCCUCAGCCAGGACAGCUCACUUGUAGCCUAAAACCCGGAAUAAGCGCAUGUGGGGAGUAGGAUGCACCAGGCAGAGCAGCCACUGGCAGAACUGGGCGGAGGCCAGGCUGCAGCUCCUGGGGCAGCAGGACCCUGGACGGCACUAAGACGGCCCCCGGAGGCCCAGGCGGGUCCCUCCCUCUGCUUCUUGGCUUGCCGGGCGAGAGGAAAGGCCCCCAGUUCUGCUGAGCUUACCACUUUCAAACUCCUUCCUGAGGUUUUUUUUUUUUUAAUGAUUAGGGAGUUGGUCCACGUUGGCUCAUCCUGGCAGCAUCACAGGCAUUGCCAAACUCUCGGAACCGCCCGUGGGGCUGGGGCCCGCCUGGGGCACUCUGCUCCUCCUCUGGAGCUCCAGGGGCCCCAGCAAGAUGCUUGGCUUCCAUGACACGUGCUCCGAAGUCCCUGGUGAUGGGGCCUGCUCCAGAGAGAGAUGACAAUUUGGCUCAAAGAGUCGAGAGGACUCUGCCCAGGAUCACACCCCUGGCUCCCUCCAGGAACGGCAGGUCACAGUGAGGAGUCCAGCAUGUGGGAGAAUCUCCAACCAGACGGGUGCCUCUGCUGUGUUGGGAGAUUUAUGUCAUCCAAUAGUCACUCAACAAACACCCCAGGCAUGAAGCAGAGAGUCUGUGUCAUGGCAGGAAAGGGGUAGUCUUUGCCCAGAGACUGCUGUCACCAGGAAGCCUGACCUUUCCUUAGGACAGCAGGAGGUGGGAACUCAGCGUCUUUCAGGCCUCUGUGACCAAGCAGACCUGCUCCCCUGGGCUGGCCUGAGGGUGGCCGUGGAGGGGUGGGGCCCGGCGCUGGUGGACCCAGGACCUCGUGAGGGGCAGGUGGGAAGCAGAGUGCUGGAUUCUGAGCCCAGGGGCAGCCCGGGCAGGACAGGUCAGGAGGAGAGGGGCUCCUCAGGCCUCCUGGGGGGCUGGUUCUCCAGCUCUUUGCAGACCAGCAGGAACCCUCACGACCAC
Molecule: long non-coding RNA, 2694 nt
Filed under: Equus asinus (donkey)
Lineage: Eukaryota; Metazoa; Chordata; Mammalia; Perissodactyla; Equidae
Description: lncRNA (ENSEASG00005032871.1)
Source: RNAcentral